This 82-nucleotide microRNA precursor is filed under the name Dipodomys ordii (Ord's kangaroo rat). RNAcentral's name for it is "microRNA 30d (ENSDORG00000024488.1)". It matches the Rfam family "mir-30 microRNA precursor family". From Rfam's summary of the family: This family consists of the mammalian microRNA (miRNA) precursor mir-30a. The record is from RNAcentral. Lineage: Eukaryota; Metazoa; Chordata; Mammalia; Rodentia; Heteromyidae.
AAGUCUGUUGUUGUAAACAUCCCCGACUGGAAGCUGUGCGAUACAGCUGAGCUUUCAGUCAGAUGUUUGCUGCUACCGGCUC